RNAcentral lists this ribosomal RNA (231 nucleotides) under uncultured bacterium. Its description in RNAcentral is "partial 16S ribosomal RNA". It matches the Rfam family "Bacterial small subunit ribosomal RNA", at positions 118 to 347 of the family's 1533-position model. The record is from RNAcentral.
UGGGUAACCUGCCCUUCACUCUGGGAUAACUCCGGGAAACCGGGGCUAAUACUGGAUAUGACUCGAACAGGCAUCUGUUUCGGGUGGAAAGAUUUAUUGGUGGAGGAUGGACUCGCGGCCUAUCAGCUUGUUGGUGAGGUAAUGGCUCACCAAGGCGACGACGGGUAGCCGGCCUGAGAGGGCGAUCGGCCACACUGGGACUGAGACACGGCCCAGACUCCUACGGGAGCA